This 253-nucleotide ribosomal RNA is filed under the name uncultured bacterium. Its description in RNAcentral is "partial 16S ribosomal RNA". It matches the Rfam family "Bacterial small subunit ribosomal RNA", at positions 524 to 776 of the family's 1533-position model. The record is from RNAcentral.
UACGUAGGGUGCAAGCGUUGUCCGGAAUUAUUGGGCGUAAAGAGCUCGUAGGCGGUCUGUCGCGUCGGCUGUGAAAACCUGGGGCUCAACUCCGGGCCUGCAGCCGAUACGGGCAGACUAGAAUUCGGUAGGGGAGACUGGAAUUCCUGGUGUAGCAGUGAAAUGCGCAGAUAUCAGGAGGAACACCGGUGGCGAAGGCGGGUCUCUGGGCCGAUAUUGACGCUGAGGAGCGAAAGCGUGGGGAGCAAACAGG